AUGUCUUGCUCUUCCUGUGUCUCCUCCUCCAGGGCUGGAGGCAGCAGCUUGGCCAGGCUGUCUGCUGGUGGAAGCAGCUUCAGCAGUAGAGGCAGAUGUGGUCUGGGGGGCGGCUCUGCCCGGGGCUUCCAAAGAGGAGCCGACAGCUAUGGCCUGAGUGGGGAUGUCUAGCAGUGGCUUUGGAGGUAGCUUUAGUGGGGGCUUUGAUAAAUGCUCUGUAGGAGGUGGUUCUAGCUUCGGCAGGAUCUCUGGAUUCUGUGGAAGUUCUGGAUUAGGCGGUGGUGCUAGUGGAGGCUUCUGCAGUAUGGUGGUGGCAUGGGAGGUGGUGGUGGCAACGGGGGGCUUUUCUCUGGAGGGGAAAAGCAAACCAUGCAGAACCUCAAUGACGGCCUAGCCAAUUACCUAGACAAUGUCAGAGCCCUAGAAGAGGCCAACACAAAAUCAAGGAGUAGUGUGACAAAUUUGGGCCUGGGUCUGGAGACGGUGGAUCUAGAAGAGAUUGCAGCAAAUACUAUCCAAUAAUUGAAGAUCUCAGGGACCAGAUCAUUGCAGCCACGAUUAAUAAUGCCAGCAUGACUUCCCCAAUUGACAGUGCUGGACUUGCAGCAGAUGACUUCAAAAUGAAGUAUGAAAACGAGCUCUAUCUAAUGCCAGUCAGUUGAAACCUAUGUAAAUGAUCUGCAAAAAGUACUCAGUGAGCUGAAUGUGACCACAUGGCACCUUAAAAUACAGUCCGAAAGCCUAGCAGAAGACCUGGCAUAUCUCCAGAACAACCCCAAGGAGGAAAUGAGUACUUUGCCGAGACAGUCCAGUGGGGACGUGACUGUAGAAAUGAACUCGGCCCCAGGGGCAGAUCUAACCAAGCGGCUGAACUGCAUGAGGCAAAACAGUAAGAGGAACUGGCUGAGCAAAACCUUAGGGAGGCCGAGGAGUGGUUCAACAAGCAGAGUGCAUCCUUGCAGACACAGAUCUCCACGGAUGCUGAAGCAGUUAGCUCGGCCAAGAGUGAGAUAAUGGAGCUGAAACAAGUCCUCCAGUCCCUCCAGCAUGAACUGCAGUCUGUCUUGGCCAUGCAAAGCUCCCCAGAAGGAACCCUGGCUGACACAGAAGCUGGCUACGUGGCUCAGCUGUCAGAAAUUAAGAUGUAUAUCAGCAUCCUGGAGGAGCAGAUCUGCCAGAUCCGGGGCGAGACUGAAUACCAGAACACAGAGUAUGCACAACUGCAGGACAUCAAGACACGCCUGGAGGUGGAGAUCGAGACCUACCACCGCCUGCUCGGUGGAGAGGGAGGG
Molecule: long non-coding RNA, 1292 nt
Filed under: Homo sapiens (human)
Lineage: Eukaryota; Metazoa; Chordata; Mammalia; Primates; Hominidae
Description: non-protein coding lnc-KRT24-2:1
Source: RNAcentral